This 468-nucleotide ribosomal RNA is filed under the name uncultured bacterium. RNAcentral's name for it is "partial 16S ribosomal RNA". It matches the Rfam family "Bacterial small subunit ribosomal RNA", at positions 28 to 507 of the family's 1533-position model. The record is from RNAcentral.
GACGAACGCUGGCGGCGUGCUUAACACAUGCAAGUCGAACGGUGAAGCUCCAGCUUGCUGGAGUGGAUCAGUGGCGAACGGGUGAGUAACACGUGAGCAACCUGCCCCUGACUCUGGAAUAAGCGCUGGAAACGGCGUCUAAUACUGGAUACGAGAAGGGUCCGCAUGGGCACUUUCUGGAAAGUUUUUCGGUUGGGGAUGGGCUCGCGGCCUAUCAGCUUGUUGGUGAGGUAAUGGCUCACCAAGGCGACGACGGGUAGCCGGCCUGAGAGGGCGACCGGCCCCAUGGGGCCGGAGCAAGGCCCGGGCCCCGCAGGGGGGGAGGAGGGGGGAAUUUUUGCCAAUGGGGCGAAGCCUGGAGGCGGGGAGCCGGGGUGGGGGAGGAGGCCUUGGGGGUUGAAACCCUCUUCCAGCGGGGAAGGGGCGAAGGUGAGGUUCCCUGAAGAGGAAGCACCGGCAAACUCGGUG